CUCUUCAACAGGAGAAUAGCCCCUGUAUCCACAUGAUCGGAAGAUUUAAAAAUCGCAAGACGACUGAACUACACAUUUUUCUGGCAUGUGUAGCUCGAAUUCAUUGUCUAUAGACUCAAGUUAGUUAAAAUUUGACGGUGACCGUGGUCAUUCAACACUUCGUUUUUGGUUUCUUGUUUUAUUUAUUUAGUUUUCGAAUGUUUAAUUUCAUUCCCAAAAAUGUCGCGCGUUAGUGCAACCCUCCUCGGUAAAGCUAGUGAAGUCAGUGAGAUUGAUACAUUCCAAGUGGAUGUCAUUGGUGAUAUAUUAGAUAAUUGUCGAUCAAUUCCGAACAAUUUUCAUAAUUUAUCUAACGAAAAUUCCAACCGCCUUUUUCAUGGCAUGCAUCGUUUAUUCAGCCCCGAUACCUCAAAGGGUUGCAAUACAUUGCAUGGACACAAAGGCUUUGACUGCAAUAAAACAUCCAACGGUAGUGUCAGCGGACGAUAAGGUUUUCCAUUUAAGUUUUUGUGAUACUUUUGCUGAUAUUAAAGAUCAUGCAAAUAGGCAUUAUGGAAAUGAGAGCUACGAAAUGCCAUGGACGGUACCUAAAUCGGAUAUAGUUGUAAACAAUCGCUCUAACAUUAUACCGUGUGAUUUAUUCAAUUUUAAAAGUGGCAAAUCGGUCACAACGUACGAUGUGGUGUGUUCCCGAGGCGGUUUUGUUGUGGUCACUCAAGGAAUGCAUCUUGUGGGCAUAUUUUUAAGUGGAAUUGUAUUGAGAUAUGCAUUGAAAGUUAUCAGUCCGAAAAAUGUGAUGCGAUCGGCCAUGAUAGUACAAAUUAUUUGUGGCAAUAUUGCUGGACUGGUUGAAUCAUUUGUCGUACAUUUAAUUUUCCGUGCUCUAGCAGCCAUUGGAUGUGCAGCAGCUUUCGGGGCGGGAUCAGUGAUAUGUCGGGAAUAUAGUUUCAGAUAUAACACGAGGACGAUUCAAACAGUCAGCGGUAGUGUUGUUCGACACGUUUUGGUCAAUUGGAAUUGUGAUACUGUCAUUCAUAACCCAAUAUGAGAGUAGAUGGACUCAAUUGUACUUGGUGAUAUCCUACCCAACAUUAAUAAUCGUAGUCCUUACGAUAUGGAUGCCAGACUCACCGCGCUGGCUGUUGAGUCAUGGAGACAUAGAGGGUACUUUUAAAUUAUUAGUUCACGCAGCCGAAUGUUGUGAUUUAAAAGAUAAUCUACCCGCAAAUCUGGCAUUUAAGCUAAAACUGCAAGCAAUGCAACUAUUACGACAUCGACGACAAGCAACAUGGUUGUCACUGUGGCAAAACACAGCCUUAACGAGCUUACGUGUGUUAUCAACUCACAUAGCAUUCGCUUGCUUCACGAUCAUGUAUUUCGGAAUGGUGUUAAACAUGCGAAACUACGGUCGCUAUCAAUUACCCACAAGUGCCAGGUUUCUAGCGCUAAGUGAACUAACAGGAUGCUUUGUGGGUUAUUUGUUUGUUAGCAAAACGAAACAUACUUUCCUAUGGUCAGGUAUAUUUAAUGUCUUCGGAGCAUUGACUGCGUUUUGCAUAUGGUUCUGGAAAAGUAGAGAGGUAGAAUUCGUUGACGAAGGCAUCCUUUUGUAUUUUUGUCUAAUACUCAAGGCGUCAGUGUCCAGUUCGUUUGGAAUACUAUCAGCAUGUGGUGCUGACUCAUUGAACAAAGAUGCCAAAGCUGUAAUGAUGUUUUCUUCAGUGUUAUGCGGCAGGCUAUUUUUACUAAACGCCCCAGUUAUAGUGUCAUUAGCACAGUUUUAUGGAAAGUACGUAUCGCUGACGGUGUUUGCUACACUUGGUGCUAUUGGCGGAUUAUGUAUGAUUGCUAUAGAUAGUAUAAGUUGAUUAAAUUGUAAUUAUUGAAAUAAACUGUGAUAGUGA
Bradysia coprophila is the source of this 1904-nucleotide RNA transcript. It is a transcript of the gene named solute carrier family 22 member 1-like, with no coding region annotated. Lineage: Eukaryota; Metazoa; Arthropoda; Insecta; Diptera; Sciaridae. The record is from RefSeq and is a predicted model, not a curated record.